RNAcentral lists this long non-coding RNA (1179 nucleotides) under Vigna radiata. Its description in RNAcentral is "long non-coding RNA (VRAD_LNC004388)". The record is from RNAcentral. Lineage: Eukaryota; Viridiplantae; Streptophyta; Magnoliopsida; Fabales; Fabaceae.
AGCAGGUUUUGUUUAGGUUGCAUAUUGUUCUGUUUCCUUCUGUUCAUAUUGCAUAUAGCUUAGGUAAUUUUGUUUAGCCAUUUCUAGGUUCUUUUAGAUUCUGUUUCAAGCUUUUCCUCAUUCCUUGCUGAAUUCGAUCAAUUUUUAGCUUUAUUUCCUUAAAUUAGGAUUGUCAAGAGUAGACUUAGCUUUAGAUUUAUGCAGAGGUAAUUCUAGCAUUGAUUUUUGCAGUCUCUGGUUCAUUUCAAGUUAGUAAUUUUUGCAUAGGAUGAGUAGCAAGUCAGUUUUAACAAUUUUUAAACCCUUGAGAGAUUUUGGGCCAAUUUUUGUCUUUCUUGUGUGAUAACAUGCAUGUUUAGCUUUCAUUCUGAUUUUGCAUUGAUUCUUUAUUGAUGUGCUUACUCUUGGUAACUUUGAAUAUGAUCUAGGCAUCCUUCAUUUUCAGCCAUAGCCAAUUUAACUUACCCAUUUCAAUUCUUACCAUUGCACCCUGCUUUGAGCCUUAGCCUUUUUCUUUGCUUUCCAUCCAAUUUAAGCCAUUCUCACAACCAUUAAUCAACCCUGGAGACUUGCGAGAUUUAGGGAGGAGUCUAGAACUUGGUGGGUGCGUGAAAAAAGAGUGAUGCCAAAAGUGGAAAAGAAAAGAAAAUUGUGCUGAACAAUAUGGUUUGGUUGAAAAAGAAAGAAACAGGUCUGGAAAUGAGAAAACUCAGAAAAAGAAAGUAAAAGAAAGACCUGAAAUAAAAGAGAAAAGAACCAGAGAAAAAGAAAGAAAAAAAUUUUGUAGGCUGGCUAAAGUUUGAUUGCACUGAGUUCUAGUUUUCUCCCUUGUUCUUCACAUUUCUCUGUUUCAUUCCCAUUCUCAUUAUUCACUGUUUCUCCAUUUCAUUCCAUGAACAUUACAAGCCAAAUAAAGACCUAUUGAUUUAGAGGAACCUUGAGUCAAGCACUGUCAUUUAGAGUCUCUUCAAAGUUGUGAAUGGUGGUUAGCAUGUCAUGAUUGAGUGAAACAGGAUAGCCAUAAAACAGUUGAGUGAUUGAGUGCAUACACCGUAUCCUGUGAGGUUGAGGCUGACUGCUACUUUUCCAUAUGUUUGAUUUGCUGAUUUUGAUUGGAUUGAGCUGUUAUAUGCCUGCUAGAAUUGCUGAAGCUUGAGUUUGAAGUUGAGAUUUCUUUUG